Molecule: long non-coding RNA, 311 nt
Organism: Sapajus apella (tufted capuchin)
Lineage: Eukaryota; Metazoa; Chordata; Mammalia; Primates; Cebidae
Exons: 3
Source: RefSeq, a predicted model, not a curated record
UGAAUCUUUAGGGUUUCUAGGUACAUGAUCAUAGCAUAUAUAGCAACAGUUUGACUUCCUCUUUACUGAUAUGGAUGCCCUUUGUUUUUUUCUCUUGUCUGAUUGCUCUGGCUAGGACUUCCAGUACUAUGUUGAAUAGAAGUGAAAGUGAGCAUCCUUGUCUUGUUCCAGUUCUCAGAGGGAAUCCUUUCAGCUUUCCCCAUUCAACAUAAUGUUGGCUGUGGCUUUGUUCAUAGAUCACUUUUAUUGCAUUGAGGUAUGUCCCUUGUAUGUCAAUUUUGCUGAGGGUUUCAAUCAUAAAGAUAUGCUGG